GAUGAAGAACGUAGCGAAAUGCGAUAAGUAAUGUGAAUUGCAGAAUUCAGUGAAUCAUCGAAUCUUUGAACGCACAUUGCGCCCGCCAGUAUUCUGGCGGGCAUGCCUGUUCGAGCGUCAUUUCAACCAUCAAGCCCCCGGGCUUGUGUUGGGGACCUGCGGCUGCCGCAGGCCCUGAAAAGCAGUGGCGGGCUCGCUGUCACACCGAGCGUAGUAGAUUUUAUCUCGCUCUGGGCGUGCUGCGGGUUCCGGCCGUUAAACCACCCUUUUAACCCAAGGUUGACCUCGGAUCAGGUAGGAAGACCCGCUGAACUUAAGCAUAUCAAUAACGGAGGA
This 336-nucleotide unclassified non-coding RNA is filed under the name soil metagenome. Its description in RNAcentral is "partial contains 5.8S ribosomal RNA, internal transcribed spacer 2, and large subunit ribosomal RNA". The stretch from base 1 to 120 matches the Rfam family "5.8S ribosomal RNA", at positions 35 to 154 of the family's 154-position model. The record is from RNAcentral.